This 442-nucleotide RNase P RNA is filed under the name Corynebacterium heidelbergense. RNAcentral's name for it is "Bacterial RNase P class A". It matches the Rfam family "Bacterial RNase P class A". From Rfam's summary of the family: Ribonuclease P (RNase P) is a ubiquitous endoribonuclease, found in archaea, bacteria and eukarya as well as chloroplasts and mitochondria. Lineage: Bacteria; Bacillati; Actinomycetota; Actinomycetes; Mycobacteriales; Corynebacteriaceae. The record is from RNAcentral.
GCCAACGGCCGGUAUGCCGAGUGUCGAGGAAAGUCCGGACUCCGCAGAGCACGGUGGUUGCUAACAGCAACCCGGGGUGACCCGCGGGCAAGUGCAACAGAAAGUAGACCGCCAGCCACUGCGGUGGUUGGUAAGGGUGAAAGGGUGCGGUAAGAGCGCACCAGCGCGGCGAGUGAUCGUCGCGGCUAGGUAAACCCCACCGGGAGCAAGGUCAAGUGGCUCCACUGCCGGUCGGUGACAACCGCGGCCUUCGGGCCGGGGCUGUCGCGGACGAACAAACGGGGGUGGGGCUGUGCCCUCAUGGGCUGCUCGUCCGCCGACGAAGGGCAGGUAGACCGCUUGAGGCGCCCAGCGAUGGAACGCCCAGAUGGAUGGCCACCUCGCCCCCGAGCGCCCUGGGCGCGCGGGGGUAGGACAGAAUCCGGCUCACAGGCCCUCUCAA